GACGAACGCUGGCGGCGUGCUUAACACAUGCAAGUCGAGCGGUAAGGCCCUUUCGGGGGUACGACGAGCGGCGAACGGGUGAGUAACACGUGGGUGACCUGCCCUUAGCUCUGGGAUAAGCCUGGGAAACGUGGGUCUAAUACCGGAUAUGACUCCAUGACGCAUGUUGUGGGGUGGAAAGCCUUGUGCGGCUAGGGAUGGGCCUGCGGCCUAUCAGCUUGUUGGUGGGGUGAGGCCUACCAAGGCGACGACGGGUAGCCGGCCUGAGAGGGCGACCGGCCACACUGGGACUGAGACA
RNAcentral lists this ribosomal RNA (298 nucleotides) under uncultured bacterium. RNAcentral describes it as "partial 16S ribosomal RNA". It matches the Rfam family "Bacterial small subunit ribosomal RNA", at positions 28 to 326 of the family's 1533-position model. The record is from RNAcentral.